GCAGCGUGGUGCAGUUGUGCAGAGCUUCACCCCGUCGACCCCACCGGCAACCGCCAACAGCUUCCGCGCCGGUCGCCGUUCGGCAGCCUCAUGGUGGAGUUGGCAGAUGGAGGUAACUGGGCAGAUGGCACUCCUCCGUGGUGGAUGAGGAAGACGGGGAUUCCAAUCAGGCGUCCUUUCUUUGAUGAAUUGGAGCCUGCAGGUCGACCGGAUGACACUUCUCAGCAAACUCGAUCUCAGUAUCUCACCAAGAAGUGUAAGUUAUGGUUGUAAUCGCUGUUCUUGUGUUUGUAAUUCAGUUAGUCAGUGUAGGUUUUUUUUUUCAAGUUCCAUCAGCUACGUUCAGUUAGAGAUAGAUGUUAGUAAGAGGUACCUGCAGUACUGGUAGAUCAAGGGUGCCGGUAAUGUAGCCUGGAUCCAUGUCACUGAGACGUCGUCCAUGCAUAUGGGCAUGUAUGAAUGUAUGAUUGGUUUUCUAUUAUAAAGUGCAAACAUUGAAAUGAUUAGCACCAAAGGAAAAGAGAUACUCCUAUACCAAAAAUGUCUAAAACCUGGCUUGAUCACAAUAAUAUGCAGCAGAGUUGCUUAUGCUGUCCUAUUUUGAACAUGAGAGAAACCUUGUAGCUGUUAGUUAACUUUUCUAUUGCCGUGGCCUCUAAUCGCCUUCACUGCAUAGCAAGUUAAUCUACUGAAAAGUAAAAGAAAAGAUAGAAAAGGAGUCUUCAAAUGAAGAUUAUUCUAUUGCAGCAAUGGCAGUUAAAAUGCAAGAGAAGUUUUAGAAAUAUUGGGACUUAUCCUGCCUGUUGUGCUAGAGCCUAGAUUCAAGUUCAAUUUUAUAGCCUUUCGCUUGGAGGCAGGAUUUGGCAACAAAGGUCCCUCAUACACUGCAAAAGUGAAGUCAACAUUGGAGGAUUUGUUUGUUGCAUAUUCAUCACAAACACCUGAUUCAAGCAACAACUUUCGGCCACAAUCCAAUGAUGAGAUUAUUGAUGAAAAUGACCCCUGGGCAGACUGGGAGCAACACCUUACAACAUAAAAAAAGAGUGCAGAGAAAAAUAAGCUAGAAAUAUAUUUGCAAGAUGAUCUUUUUCCUCGGCAAAAGGACUUGGACAUUCUGCAAUGGUGGAUGAUGCACUCUACUAAAUACCCUAUACUUUCGCGUAUGGCAAGAGAUUUAUUUGCAGCAGCUGCAUCAACAGUAGCUUCAGAGUCUGCAUUCUCUACUAGUGGGAGAGUUAUUAGCGACUAUAGAAGCCGGUUGACAAACAAGAAUGUAGAAGCAUUAAUUUGCCUCCAGGACUGGUAGAGAGCUGAAGGCCAUACCAACUUCAAGAUUGCAGAAGGUGAUAUCAGUGAUGAUGAGGGUCAGUUAGAUUAAAAGCUAACAGAUUUUAAGAAAGAAUGGAGGAGAGCUUGGAGUAUGAAGAUUCAUAAUUUUACUUGUUGCCAUUGUUAGUGUCGAAAGAAUCAGAUUAUAAGCUUUUAUCAAGAAAUCUGGAAGCAAGGACUAUUCUUUUGUUCAAAUUGGUUGUUAAAUUGGUCUUAGUAGAGUACAAGGGCUACUGUCUAGCAGAUGCUUGCUUUGGUUUUCAGUUUUAUCAGUAACUGUAUCUUCACUUUGCUUCAAUGCAUGUGUUCUUGCCAUACUAUACUGUUGGGCUUUACAUUAUGGCACGCAAUUCCUAAUGGCAUAUAUGUUCUUGUAAUUUCAGUUCAGGAAUGUGUGGGUGUGGUGCUUACCUGGACUAAAAGAGAUUUGAAUAAUCAUUCUUGUCAAUGAUUUUUUUUUGAAGCAGCCAUCAUGGUAUUGAUAGAGAAGAGACUGUCAAUGAAAUGUUGAUUACUGUAAUAAGUGACUGGAGUGUCAGUUCCUAAGGAUUGUGGAAGUGCUAUUAUCUAGGAUAUUAGAUAGUCGUUUCCAUUCAUUACAUUCAUGUGGUGGCUUCUGAAGAAGUCAGUUUUGAAACUUAGGAUGGAGAAAGGUGCAGUAUAUCACUUCCAGAUCACAGACCCGGAACUAUUUGCCUUAUUUCCUGUGUAAUAAGAUAUGUAAUUGCUCACUUGUUAAGAAGCUGAUGACAUUGACAAGCCUGA
Molecule: long non-coding RNA, 2094 nt
Organism: Panicum virgatum (switchgrass)
Lineage: Eukaryota; Viridiplantae; Streptophyta; Magnoliopsida; Poales; Poaceae
Exons: 3
Source: RefSeq, a predicted model, not a curated record